UUUACAGGCUUAACACAUGCAAGUCGAGGGGCAGCAUGGUCUUAGCUUGCUAAGGCCGAUGGCGACCGGCGCACGGGUGAGUAACACGUAUCCAACCUGCCGUCUACUCUUGGACAGCCUUCUGAAAGGAAGAUUAAUACAAGAUGGCAUCAUGAGUCCGCAUGUUCACAUGAUUAAAGGUAUUCCGGUAGACGAUGGGGAUGCGUUCCAUUAGAUAGUAGGCGGGGUAACGGCCCACCUAGUCUUCGAUGGAUAGGGGUUCUGAGAGGAAGGUCCCCCACAUUGGAACUGAGACACGGUCCAAACUCCUACGGGAGGCAGCAGUGGGGAAUAUUGGUCAAUGGGCGAGAGCCUGAACCAGCCAAGUAGCGUGAAGGAUGACUGCCCUAUGGGUUGUAAACUUCUUUUAUAAAGGAAUAAAGUCGGGUAUGGAUACCCGUUUGCAUGUACUUUAUGAAUAAGGAUCGGCUAACUCCGUGCCAGCAGCCGCGGUAAUACGGAGGAUCCGAGCGUUAUCCGGAUUUAUUGGGUUUAAAGGGAGCGUAGAUGGAUGUUUAAGUCAGUUGUGAAAGUUUGCGGCUCAACCGUAAAAUUGCAGUUGAUACUGGAUAUCUUGAGUGCAGUUGAGGCAGGCGGAAUUCGUGGUGUAGCGGUGAAAUGCUUAGAUACCACGAAGAACUCCGAUUGCGAAGGCAGCCUGCUAAGCUGCAACUGACCUUGAGGCUCGAAAGUGUGGGUAUCAAACAGGAUUAGAUACCCUGGUAGUCCACACGGUAAACGAUGAAUACUCGCUGUUUGCGAUAUACUGCAAGCGGCCAAGCGAAAGCGUUAAGUAUUCCACCUGGGGAGUACGCCGGCAACGGUGAACUCAAAGGGAAUUGACGGGGGGCCCGCACAAGCGGAGGAACAUG
RNAcentral lists this ribosomal RNA (911 nucleotides) under uncultured organism. Its description in RNAcentral is "SSU rRNA". It matches the Rfam family "Bacterial small subunit ribosomal RNA", at positions 39 to 941 of the family's 1533-position model. The record is from RNAcentral.